This 482-nucleotide ribosomal RNA is filed under the name uncultured bacterium. Its description in RNAcentral is "partial 16S ribosomal RNA". It matches the Rfam family "Bacterial small subunit ribosomal RNA", at positions 30 to 507 of the family's 1533-position model. The record is from RNAcentral.
AUUGAACGCUGGCGGCAUGCCUUACACAUGCAAGUCGAACGGUAACAGGUCUUCGGAUGCUGACGAGUGGCGAACGGGUGAGUAAUACAUCGGAACGUGCCCGAUCGUGGGGGAUAACGAGGCGAAAGCUUUGCUAAUACCGCAUACGAUCUACGGAUGAAAGCGGGGGAUCUUCGGACCUCGCGCGGACGGAGCGGCCGAUGCCAGAUUAGGUAGUUGGUGGGAUAAAAGCUUACCAAGCCGACGAUCUGUAGCUGGUCUGAGAGGAUGAUCAGCCACACUGGGACUGAGACACGGCCCAGACUCCUACGGGAGGCAGCAGUGGGGAAUUUUGGACAAUGGGCGAAAGCCUGAUCCAGCCAUGCCGCGUGCAGGAUGAAGGCCUUCGGGUUGUAAACUGCUUUUGUACGGAACGAAAAGCCUCUUUCUAAUAAAGAGGGGUCAUGACGGUACCGUAAGAAUAAGCACCGGCUAACUACGUG